GAAAGAUAGCUAGCUAGCCACUAGCUAGAUAGCUAACUUAACAUUAGCCAGCAGCCACUACAUAACUUCAACGAAUUUCGACGUUAGUUUACCAAAGUGGCUGAACAGAAUUUUAAGAAGAUCAUCCAUCCAUUGUCAACCAAAUUAGCCAUUUGUGAUUUCCUUGUAACGGGGACCAAAUAGCUAUGUCCACUUACAUUCACUAAAAGUGCCUGUCGUAGUUAAUGUCCUCUAGUGAAUUCGCCUUAUUCACCUAUGGCACUUCCUUUAAACCAAAACGAGGCUGUGGGGUACGGAAGUAACGUUGGCCCGCCCAUCUGUAGACUUCUGUCAUAACGUUACCUACAAUGCCGCCGCAUUGUUGUGUUCCCAAAUGUACGUCUUCAAAGAGAAAGAAAUCCUAUACAGGUCAAACCUUCCAUCGUUUCCCCAAAGAUCCUGUACUUUGCCGGGAAUUGAUUCAUAAAAUAAGAAGAGAUCCUGGUCGCCAUUUCAAGAAAACAAUGGUAGAAAAGUGGGUAAUUGAAGAUUUUUGGGAAUGGCUUGAGGAAAUUCAUCUGAGUGACGCAAAAGAAACGUUCAGAGAACAGCAAAUUCAUGGAGAGACUUUGCUGGGCCUUACAGAGCGAAUGGUGGAGAAAUUAUUCCCUGUAAUGAAAAAACUGGUUGCAUUUCUGAGGGAAUUAGAGAAAUUAAAGAGAAGGUCAUAUUCACAACAAGGACAUCAUCAGCCAUGUGUGGGGCAACAAUGGCUGGCUGUUUUCCUUCUCCCUGAGUUUCCCCCAGAGCUCAACGAGGAUCCAUCCUUUAAAAAAAAAGAUAAGUCCCACCUGCGCUCCCUUUUAAUCCAAGUGCUGUUCGAUAACAUUACAACAUUACAAAAUUUUUGAAUACUUUUUAAAGCAAAAAAACUACAUUUUAACACUUGUUGUGGUGAGCACUGUGUAUUGCGAAGAUAAUCUGCUUUCAGGUAUCCAAGCCAUAAAAUGUAUGGAGAUGUUCUAGGCAGCUUGAAUACAAAAUAUCCCUUCUUAAAGGAUGGUAGACCCUCUGGCCAUGAUACCUUACUAGAAUGCCUAAAUACAUUUAAAAAGGAAAGGAUUACUUUGAUCCACUCAGAAACAGUUCAGUUCAUGUAGAAAAAAUAUGGGGACAAGAGAAACAUUGACCAGACAACUGGGGACCAUUUUUCAGAACAGAAGCUAGCAAAAAGAUCAAGAGAUGAGGAAAAUGUGUUCCAAACUCCCACACAAGAGGUUUGCACAUUUUUGCAGUAUAGUACAGUAUUUAUAUGUUGUUGUAUAGAUAUAUCUUUUGAUCCUUUACGGUGCUGCACAAUGUUGUUGUUUUUUAUGUUGGUGCUGGAUCUGGAAACCAUCUGAGAAGAUGAAACAAGUUUUGAGGAGCACAAUAAAACAAUCAUUGCCGAGUUACACAAAAAAGAGCCAGAUUACUAUGCAAUUAGAAAUAGAAUGAGGCAAUCUUUGUUUAAAAGAGUGGAGUACAUGGGAAGACCAACACACGAGGUGAUGGAAAUGUUUCCAUUUCU
This is a long non-coding RNA of Esox lucius (northern pike), 1549 nucleotides long. The record is from Ensembl. NCBI's taxonomy places the organism in Eukaryota, Metazoa, Chordata, Actinopteri, Esociformes, Esocidae.